Molecule: transfer RNA, 65 nt
Filed under: Hemiselmis andersenii
Lineage: Eukaryota; Cryptophyceae; Cryptomonadales; Hemiselmidaceae
Description: partial tRNA
Source: RNAcentral
GUGUGGCCGAGUGGACUAAGGCGGUAGACUCAAGAUUUACUGGAAUUAUCCUCGUGGGUUCGAAU